RNAcentral lists this ribosomal RNA (464 nucleotides) under uncultured bacterium. RNAcentral's name for it is "partial 16S ribosomal RNA". It matches the Rfam family "Bacterial small subunit ribosomal RNA", at positions 29 to 507 of the family's 1533-position model. The record is from RNAcentral.
ACGAACGCUGGCGGCGUGCUUAACACAUGCAAGUCGAACGGAAAGGCCCUGCUUGCAGGGUACUCGAGUGGCGAACGGGUGAGUAACACGUGGGUGAUCUGCCCUGCACUUCGGGAUAAGCCUGGGAAACUGGGUCUAAUACCGGAUAGGAGCCAUUUUUAGUGUGAUGGUUGGAAAGUUUUUUCGGUGUAGGAUGAGCUCGCGGCCUAUCAGCUUGUUGGUGGGGUAAUGGCCUACCAAGGCGGCGACGGGUAGCCGGCCUGAGAGGGUGGACGGCCACAUUGGGACUGAGAUACGGCCCAGACGCCGACGGGAGGCAGCAGUGGGGAAUAUUGCACAAUGGGCGCAAGCCUGAUGCAGCGACGCCGCGUGGGGGAUGACGGCCUUCGGGUUGUAAACUCCUUUCGCUAGGGACGAAGCUUUUUGUGACGGUACCUAGAUAAGAAGCACCGGCUAACUACGUG